This 255-nucleotide ribosomal RNA is filed under the name uncultured bacterium. Its description in RNAcentral is "partial 16S ribosomal RNA". It matches the Rfam family "Bacterial small subunit ribosomal RNA", at positions 524 to 776 of the family's 1533-position model. The record is from RNAcentral.
GACGAACCGUGCGAACGUUAUUCGGAAUCACUGGGCUUAAAGCGCGUGUAGGCGGGACGGCACGUCCGUCGUUGAAAGCCCCCGGCUCAACCGGGGAAUCGGCGCGGAUACGACCGUCCUCGAGGGGCGUAGGGGGACAGGGAACUUCCGGUGGAGCGGUGAAAUGCGUUGAGAUCGGAAGGAACACCCGUGGCGAAAGCGCUGUCCUGGACGCCUUGCUGACGCUGAGACGCGAAAGCUAGGGGAGCAAACGGG